AAAUAAUUCCUUUGUAAGUAAUCCUUAUUCCACUUCACUAUACGCCAAUGAGGUUGUGCUAUUGUGUGGUACUGAAGGUGAAUAUUGAGCAAAUUAAGCAAGUAGCUAUGAGACCCGACUGUCAAUAGUUAUGAAUAUUGAGCCAAUCCCUAUCCCUAUCUGUCCCCUUUUCCCACCUUUUUCUGUAAAUUGAGCUACUUAUGAGACUUUCUGUGGUAGGUACAUAUUUUCUUGAUGCAUACAUAUACAAUUAUUUCCUUUUACCCUUUCUUCUAACUGAAAUGCUUGUAGGUUAUUACUUUGUUCUUUUCAACCAAGCAAAUCCUUACCUUGCUGCUUUCUUGUUCCUUCUAAUGUAGACACAAUAUGUUCUAUUACUCUG
RNAcentral lists this unclassified non-coding RNA (382 nucleotides) under Hevea brasiliensis (rubber tree). The record is from RNAcentral. Lineage: Eukaryota; Viridiplantae; Streptophyta; Magnoliopsida; Malpighiales; Euphorbiaceae.